AUUCUGAUUAAGAAAUCUGCUUCUCCUUUCACAAGUGGCCAUCAAGAACAGCUGGUUUUCUAAGAGGCUUCCGAGAUUUGAAAAACGGUGGCUAAUGAUGACAACAGCAACAGCACUGAGCACAGAAAACUCCACAGGCCUGGGCUCGGCUCAUCGCACAGCCUCCAUCUCUGGAUGCCCUGAUUCAAGGAGAUUCAAAACCCGUGUCACUGCUGCCAUCUUCCUAGAAUCCCUUUAAAUCCUCAUGGAUUUGCUGACAUUGGGAGCAUCCUGAAAGAGUCCCCAUGCUAGGGUGGCUGCAGUAACAGGUUCUCCCCACUCCAGAAAAAAUCAAAUCAGAUUGUGAAUUUAUUCCCUGACAUUAACACACGGCAUUACAGGAGCAUGUACAUCACAUGGUCAAUUUAUUGGCAUGAGGAUUAUGUCAUCGGGGAAUAAAUGGGAAAUUCUCAAGGUACUUUGCUCCAGUAAUCAGGACUUUAUUUAUCUCUAAGCUAAAAGAGGGGAUUGACUUCUUUAAUGAUGAUCAGAAAAUGCUUUUAGGAAGAUUCCUUUCCUAUUAAACAAUUUCUUAAAGUUGCAGUAAAUGUUGUGUGGCUUGUCUAUGCCCAAGGCUUGGCAGCACACUUUCCUUUGUCUUCAAAACCAUGGGAAAGAAUGUCACAGGAGUCUUGGAGGAAAAAUAAUUACAAAGAGGAAAAGGUUGAUCAAGGGCCAGUUAAUGUUACUGAUGACAUAUCGGUAAGGUUCUCCAGGCCCAAUUCUUUUUGGGGGACUUUGGCUCCACAAGCAAAUGCCACUUGGUGAUAUGGCUCCCAGCACUGGCCACCUCAGUGUUCCCUACACUACUGGAGAAAUUUAGGCCUAAAUUAAAAUCAGAGUCAUGCAA
Homo sapiens (human) is the source of this 889-nucleotide long non-coding RNA. The record is from Ensembl. Lineage: Eukaryota; Metazoa; Chordata; Mammalia; Primates; Hominidae.